GAGGGAACCAAGGGGGAAACCCUACUUCUUAAAAAUCCUACAAAUUGAAGGGAUUGAAAGCUGAAUUCUAGGUGCAUGAGUUAGGAAUUAAGAUCUCCUAACUAUAUUAGAUACCAAAAGGUGUUUAGAUGGGGUCGAAGAAAGGAGGGGAAUCAAACCAAGCAAAGGCAAUAGGAGCGCACGACUCCGGUGAAUCUCACUCUUGAUAAUGGCGAGCUUGGAUCGAACACACCACAUCGCCCUUUAUGCGCUUCCGGUUAAAGUUGUCUUUGUAAAUGGGUUAAAACACUUUCAUAAUGUAAAUGUUAAAUUUAUGCCUAGGAUGUUUUGUAGGUAAGUUAGGAUUUUAAAUCUUAUUUUGGUAGUUCGGGCAAAACGCUUUUGAUGGAAUCUUGUAUGGUUACAACUUUUAUGUCUUUUGAAACGUGUCGUAGAAUUUAGUUUGGAUAGUGAUUGUUAAAAGCAGGGAAUUGCUUAUAGUACGAACGGGUCAUUCCCAAUUUUU
This 505-nucleotide long non-coding RNA is filed under the name Helianthus annuus (common sunflower). Its description in RNAcentral is "hypothetical non coding rna". The record is from RNAcentral. Lineage: Eukaryota; Viridiplantae; Streptophyta; Magnoliopsida; Asterales; Asteraceae.